This is a long non-coding RNA of Cygnus olor (mute swan), 3742 nucleotides long. RefSeq lists it as uncharacterized. NCBI's taxonomy places the organism in Eukaryota, Metazoa, Chordata, Aves, Anseriformes, Anatidae. The transcript has 4 exons. The record is from RefSeq and is a predicted model, not a curated record.
UCCUUACCUGCAGCGAAAUGAAAAAAAGAAGUGAAAAAUCACCUGCUAUAAAAACAAAAAAACAAAACAACAAAAAAAAACAGCUGAGUCAAAUUCACUUGGGCUGCAUUGGGCCAUUACGUUUUCCCCCACUGCCUCCCCACAGGCAUUGCGGGGUGCUGGGCUGGCCAGGGCAGGAGCCACGCAGGGCCAUGCCUCCCAUGCUCGUGUCCCCGUGCUCCUGCCCAGCAGGGCCUCCCCACUGGGAGAGGAGGUGCAGGCCGACCGCGGCCAGCCGGAGCAGAAGCAGGGGAGCUCAGCCUGGCUGGCGUUAGCGUGUUGUUAGCGUCUUUUGUUCCCCAGCUUCUGUCGAGGCUUAAAGACGGGAUUUCAUUCAGAAGCUUGUUCUGGGAAGUUGCAUGAAUAAGCAGUCAAAUACUUACAGAGCUGUUUCACUUGAUCUUUUGAAGCACUGAAAAUAAAGACAGAGUCCUGUUAUCUUUCAUAUCUUCUGGCCAAGGGGUAUUUUUACUAAUGUCUCGCAUGUGUGUAAUUCAUUCCCCCUAGAAUACCUAAUAUUUGAUUUAUCUACUGGUAAAUCUAACGCAGGAGGUAGUACGUAAUGGUUCUCUAACACUGAAAGCAACACAACAAAGCAGUAUAGAAAAGGCAGAAAACAAAAGGGCAUUGCAGCAAAACAAACCAUUUUUUUUCCUCGGAAACUGGAUCUAUCCGUACCUUACAAAUUUUAUCUCUUCGAGCCACAAUUCCAAAAAGCACUGUGAGUGUAACCACCACCACAGCAGCGAUAACAGCCUCCAUGGGGAAAACAGUUUUUUUAUCUGUAAAGAGGGAGAGGAGGUUGUGUAUCUGUUAGAUUGGUGCAAUUACAUAAAACAAGUCGUUUCACAGAACCACAAAAGGCACAUUUCUAUUUUGGCGAACCGAAGGAGGAAUUAAAAUGUAGGUCCCUGAAGACGAUCCCCGGGGUGUCCUCACACUAAUGUUGCUUUUUUCUCUUUUUCAGGACACCCCGGCCCGUGGGGUGGGCAGUGGAUGCCCCAAAUCCGGUGAGCCACCUCACCGAGCAUCACCUCUCGGAGACAUGGGCAUCCAGCACAGCUCGGCCUCCACCUGCCUGUAGUCCGCAGAGGAUGAGACUCCAAUACCCCCCUUCAUGCCUGAAGGUCCGUUGCUGUGUCCUUUUUUGACGGGAAAAGGAGAAAAUGCACCGAUUCAGACUUUGAACUGCGUGUUGGCAGAAGAGGGAGCAGAGCCAUUGCCCUGCUAAAAGGGCAUAAUCAUCCUGUGGGUGUCUGAUUACCGCCGAGGUCUAGAGCUGUGCGGGUUGCGUUAUCCACCUUCCCGGGACGCCUAGGAGGGACAGAAACGUCAUGUUCCGGGACAUAAAGCAGCCCCUGGUGACUCAGCCCAGGAGGAACCCUUCAGACAGGCAGAACCUCGCUCCAACCUCCUCCUUGGUUUGGUUUCCACUUGAUUAUCCUCAGCGCCUCCAGGGAUAGAGAGCACAACGAGUAAUCCCCUGAACAUUGGCUGGCAGGCAGCACAAUUUAUAUUCAGCAGUGUCGUGAGGGUGGAAGAUCACUCCUGGAGUCUGGGGCAUAGCAGGAUCUGCACCGACGUGUGGGAGCUGAGGAGCGAAUCCACAGGCUGGGUCGUGUUGUGAGGCAAGCGCUGUAAUCCUGCUCCAGAAAACACGUUUGCAACAGAGCCUGAGGCUCUGCUCCAAGCCCGCUCCCGUCUUCCUACUCGUGGUGGUUCUCCUCUCCUAAUCCCUUUUUAAUAUGGGGUGCUACAUAUUUUGCAACCCCACUGUUCGGGCAUGACUCUAACACGGCCUCUGCUUGCCAGCUGUCGGGGCCGGGCUGCCAGGGGGUGCCGCCGAGCAUCCUCAGCGCCCCUGGGCCCUCCCACAAAACCGAUUUUCCCAAGUAUAAAGAUUAGGAAGAUGGGACGUGCCCUGGUUUUGCAGGCUCGCAGCCCGUGCCCCAGAUACCGUCCACUGUUGGGACAGAACUUUUUCCUAAGUUCAUUAAUAAUUCUAUUUCCUGAUCGCCCUGAAAUAAAAGGUCGCACGCUCUGGCACUGAAUAGCCAUGGGAAGGAAAAAGAAUGGUGAAAGGAGCACUGGACCAGUGCACAUUUUAAAAAAUGAUGUGAAAGAAGUCGCUCAGUGGGCGGGCAGCAUCUGGGCUGCGGGGCGGUGCUGGGGCUGGAGCGGAAUGGGUGCGGGUGUGGGUGCAGAGGCACGGGGUGCGGGUGCCCCCUGCGGGACACCGGGUGCCUCUGGGAGCCCGUGGCACCGGCCCAAGCCGCAGGGAGCAGCUCGGAGCAGGGCUGCGGGACCUCCUGGGUGGGUUUGGGUUUCAUCCUGCCGUGGGAAGCCCCCUGCUGAGCCUGAACUGGCAGCGGUGCAGCACGGAGCCGUACCCUGGCCUCUCUGUGCUCAUCUUUCAGAAGUUUGGGUACGCUUACGGAACCUCAGGCAUCGAGGUUUAAAUUGUUUAAACAGUUCCUUUAAGCUGUUGUUUCGGGAUCUGCUGAGCUCUCCCUCCUUGACGUGAGCGCAAGGAGCGGAACUGUGUCCAGGGGGCAAGCCUAACCUUUAGGGAAGAGCAUCGAGGCACUCGCCAGCAUUUCCUGCGCUGUGACGAAAACGUCCAGAGACUGCGGGAACUCUGAGGAGUGCGCAGGGACGUCGUGGCACGCUGCUGCAGCGCAGUGCCCGCUGCUGUUCCCAGCCCUCAGCACGGGUCUGCCUCUUCCCAAACUGCUCUGGGUGACAUUCGGCGCUGCUGGCACGCCUCGUCGCCGGGCUUGAUUUAGAAAACUAAAGAUAGCACCCGAGUGUGGCCGUUGCUAUCCUAACCUGAGAAAUACAGUCCCAAAUAAAAGCAAAUGUGAAAAGAACUUGGCAUGACAUUAGCAAUGUAGGUCCCUGCAGGAGACAAAGGUGAGUUUUCUGUGCUAAAUUCCACUUCGAUGUUGGUCCUCGUAGCUUCCCAUCUAGGGAGUCCUGCUUAACAGCCUUCAGCGUUCACACCUAGUAGCGCUCAGGCAAAUUAAUAAUAUCGAUCCUUAAUUUGCAUCAUGAAGCUCCAUUUUCAACCUGAUUAAAGCGAUUUGCAAGGCAGUCUCCUGCCUCAGCAGGCUUGUAGCAGAGAUUAUCUGCUAGGUCCCCGUGACUUUGUUGGUUUUCCGGACAGAAAACAUGCCUCUGCCGCCGCUGGGCAGGACUUCAAGGGUUUUUUUCCUCCUCUGGGAAAAUAAAAUGACUGGGGAUGCUGCUAAGUUGGGUGCUUGUUUCUUGCCUGAUUUAGAUGCUCUCUGACGGCCAGUACAGGAAAUUCCCUAGUAUUAUUCCCAGAUCUGCUUCUCUUUCAUCACUGUUCUUCUGUGGCUACUCUACAGCCUAGACCCAAGAUAUUUUUGUCUACCUAGGAACCAUCAUCACCAGUGGGAUUUCUCGGAAGUGCUCUGCUGGAAAUCCGAGUGCUGAUUUGAUCGUGUGAAGACCUGCCAAACAACACGAGCAGUUUGGACUUCCCUGCUGUGGAGUCAUCCCUCGUUCCCUCGGCGAGGAAUCCGCAAAGCCCCAGCUGCUCCAUCUUUCUGGUUCACGGGGAGCCACUCGCUGCCAAUCUUCAGGAGGAAACCGCGCUCCUCAGGGGCUGAAACCACCACAGAGGGUGUUGUAAGGCAAAAGCCACAGCCCCCACGUAACCAGCCUUGCGGUGUGCCAG